CCACAAGCCACGCUCUUGGCUCCAACCGCAGCGUUAGGGCCCCGCGAGGGGAAAUGAGGGGCGCCGCUGAAGAAGUGGCACUCACUGGGCAAGUGCCGCCCCAAGACUCCCGGAGCUGGACGGCACCGAGCUAAGGGCACCACCUGUGAGAUCGAGCCCCUCUAGCCCUGCAAUCAAGUGACCGCAGGGAUCCAUGGUCCGUGCGCACCACUCUGAGGGCAGGUGUUCCCAGUGCUGGCUCUUGUUCAGGUUUCAGUUCUGUGCCAAUUCUCUUAUUUGCUCCCCCUCCCCCAACACAAUCCUACAGGAUUGUUUUUUGUUUUUGUUUUUGUUGUUUUUUGUUGGGGGGGCGGGUUGCUGCUGAGGAAACAGCCUUUGAAAGAAUAAGUGAUAUGGGCAAGACCACGUAGUAACUGUGAAAAAUGCCAACACGUCGUCUGUGGAUAAGAGAAGAAACAAGAUUGUUGGGGGCCAUACAAAUAAUGACUGGUCUGAUUGUUCACUUCGUGGGACAGCUCUGGACGUAUUUGUUUACCACACAAGUUAUUGCAUUUGGAAAAGCGUAUCUUCCUCUUGUAGUAAUAACAAGAUACGCAUAUUGGUCAUCUGUGUGUUUUCUCUUCUCGGGAGUCUUUGCAGUAUUAACAGAGAGGAUGCGUUCAACGUUCUUGAUGUCCUAUACUAUGGCAGUGAACAUCGUAAGUGCCUGCGCUGCCGUGAUUGGUCUGCUUAUACUGUCAUUUGAGUUUAUAAUAUACAGUUUGACUACACAAGCUCCUAUUUGGCCCGAGAGAAGUGGUAAAAUCCUUUCAGAAUAUCUGUUUUUAUUCACCAUCUUGGAGUUGUUUACAGCGUGCACAGUGGCCCAUUGGAUAUACAAAGCUAAACAUCUCAGAUAAUAAAGAUGUGGAGAAUGGAAAUGCAAAUUACCAAAUAAUGUGAAAAAAAUGAAGGAGCCCAAGGAAAUCUUUCAUCUAAGCUAUGAGAUGAGGUACACGGCAGAAGGGGAUCCUUUUCCUACAUAUUAAAGAACUGUAAUGACCUGAGUCAAGGAGGAAAGUGUAGUGGUGAAUGAAGAACUUCAUUUUGUUCAAGAGGCUUCUUGGAAAAUGCAUUUUAAUGAAGUCCAUCGUAGUAUUUCCUUUCCCGCAUUUCAUUAAUAAAAAUUUUAAUUGAUAAA
Molecule: RNA transcript, 1180 nt
Organism: Acinonyx jubatus (cheetah)
Lineage: Eukaryota; Metazoa; Chordata; Mammalia; Carnivora; Felidae
Gene name: membrane-spanning 4-domains subfamily A member 14
Exons: 8
Source: RefSeq, a predicted model, not a curated record